Long non-coding RNA from Silurus meridionalis, 989 nucleotides. RefSeq lists it as uncharacterized. The record is from RefSeq and is a predicted model, not a curated record. NCBI's taxonomy places the organism in Eukaryota, Metazoa, Chordata, Actinopteri, Siluriformes, Siluridae. The transcript is spliced from 3 exons.
UUGGCAUUAAUUAGCCUGAAGAUUGCUUAUUAGCGCUGUCUUAGGACAGGAAUAAAAAUAAAGAAGAGAGUAGGGUGCCAAAAGUUUGAACACUGAAGAGUGAAGACUAUAAAAACUUCUUAAAUGUGAUCUAAAAAACAUUUGCAUACACUACAGUUCCCUUUCAGAUACUUUUCCUCCAUCAGGAGAAUCUGAUGAUGAUCCUGUGACUGUGUGAAAAAGGAAAAAAUGUGGAUUUGGAAUAAAAUGAACACAAAGUGCUCAUUCAUCCUGUCUCGUCCCUGGAAGCCCCCCACGACCCGUCACUUGAACCUGGAGGCUCUGCACAGGCAAAAACAGCCACGGGGUGGAUCCAGAUGUGCAGAAACGUCACACGUCCAAAAGUCAUGGCAUUUUUACAGCAUGGCGCUAUUGAGUUCUGGAUCCUGAGAAAAUGAUGGUGUUGAUUCGUUUUCUAGAACGUCAAGAUCGCAGGUUUUAUUUAUAUUGUAGAAUUUUAAUAUUAAUGCCCUCGUUCUGAUCCGCCAUCGUUUCCAUAGUAACGGAUCCAUUUCUUCUUUGACGUCCUGCCUGAUUUAUCCACUCACUGUAGCUGAGGAUGUUCUCCACAUGAACAGUGGGAGGAUCCAUGAGGUUCUUGUAGAUCUGAAGAACCAUGAAAAUGGAUUUGGAUUGUAAUGAAUAUAAUCAUUCUGCUACGAUUGUUUUGGUCUGCGAUCACGAUGAACUAUUGUACACCGAAGUCUUCAUCAGUGGAACGCUGAUAACAUGAUGGAACUGUAAUCAAUAGACAUUUGGUGUCACCCUGAUGAGGAUGAGCUGAGGAAGGUUUUCUUCAUACUGUACCAUCUCAGUUUUUUCCCUAAACACCGUCACCAGCGACUUGCUCAUAACUUAGGGACUAAUUAAUGAUGCUAAAAUUUAUAUUUGUAAUGUAUUUUUUUUUAUAUCUGCUUAAAUCAUAAACAUAUAUGCUAAUGAGCUAAAAA